UCCCGGUUCCCGCAGGGAAUACGGUUCUCCCAAGAAGUCCGCCGCGAAUCGCUUCGCGGCGGACUUUUUUAUGCCCG
This 77-nucleotide unclassified non-coding RNA is filed under the name Martinezella hainanensis. RNAcentral describes it as "Rhizobium hainanense suhB". The record is from RNAcentral. Lineage: Bacteria; Pseudomonadati; Pseudomonadota; Alphaproteobacteria; Hyphomicrobiales; Rhizobiaceae.